CAUGACUGACAUCCAGGCCUGGGUUCACCAACUGCUCUACCCAGAAGGACCCGAUAAGGAAUGGCGGUGAAUGUUUUGGAAAAUGGUAGCACCUACCACGGGGGAAGAUGUCUGUUAUUUAUUGUGGCCAGAGCAUAAGGGAAGAUAGAGGGUUCGUGAGAAAUGAGACGGGAUAUUAAGGCAGAAAAUAGAUAAUGGAGGACUUUGUGGCACAGAGAAGCUUGGACCAGGCGAAAUCAGAAAACCGGACCCCCCUCCCCUAGAGCUCUGCCCUAGAGCUGAACAAUGAAGGCAGCGGGGCCGUACCGUGGCGUAAGAAUAAGCUUGGAGUCGGGAAAAGGAAACAAGACCAUGGGGUCCCACCUCUGCGAUGCCUGGAGGGUGAGCUCUCAGGGGGAUGGUGACGGUUCCGUGAUUCUCUGGGGCUUCUGCACGAUGCAUCUGGAGAGAAGCGUGGCUGGAGCACGUGAUAGAAGAGGCCGUGGUAUCGCACAGAAACUUCCACCGUGGGGAGUCAAAAACGUCUACUGCAGACCCAAGGCUGCUUGCAGCAGGAGUUGGGACGGUCCAGGGCGCGUAAGGAGCUGGCAAGGAGGUGCUUGGUGUCCUCAGGCCGCCCCGCCUUCAAGCCUGGGGAUUUACCGGGCACUUCUCUCAGCGGCAGCGUGA
Molecule: long non-coding RNA, 669 nt
Filed under: Felis catus (domestic cat)
Lineage: Eukaryota; Metazoa; Chordata; Mammalia; Carnivora; Felidae
Description: lncRNA (ENSFCAG00000045781.2)
Source: RNAcentral